Molecule: long non-coding RNA, 1188 nt
Organism: Canis lupus familiaris (dog)
Lineage: Eukaryota; Metazoa; Chordata; Mammalia; Carnivora; Canidae
Exons: 3
Source: RefSeq, a predicted model, not a curated record
CCAGCAACAACCCCUUGACCUGGGUUGGAGCUACGCCCCUUUCUUUCCUGAGUGCUGGGGGUAGAGGGACUAGACCAAUCGACACACUGCAUUCCAUUGGGGGAUGUGACCUUGGCUGGUCCAGUCAGAGUGACUCCUGGAAUUCUGCCGGAACUGCUAGAAGAGAAAGUCUGAUUUUCUCAUUAUACUCGAACCUGAGAGAAUAUGCCACAGCCAUUUUACUACCAUGGAUGGAGAAUCUGACUAAGAUUGGAGGCGGCAAAGAAAGAAUUAGAGGGAAAAUAACAGGGUCCCAGGGACACCUGCUUGAAUCCUGGGUCAACCCAGAUCUAAAACCUGCCCUACUCUAGGCUCCUGAGGAUGGCAACCCUCGUAUUCUCAUCUUACUAAGGCCAGUCUGGGCUUUCUGUCACUUGCAAAUGCAAAUUAACAGAUGAACCAUCAUUCCAUCCUAAGAACACCCACCGUUCUUAUACCCUAACGGGAGCCAAAAUAUGCAAAGCAUCACCCUGAUUUUGCCCCUUCGGCACAAUCUAAACAUGACCUGGCCCAUGUGGCACAGAGGAAGCGGAGCCUGGCUAGCAAGGGUCCACCAGCACUGUAUCGACGAUGCCAUCUCAGAGAAAGGCCAGGAAAUCAUCGGAGCCCUGACCAGAGGAUGGAGGGGGACACCUGCUCUUCCGUAGGGGUUCAGGUCAGCCAAAGCACAAGCACCUGCAGGCUGCAAGCCGCCAAGGCCAUCACGCGCGCCACAUCCUGCAGCCACCCGCUUUAUCAUUAACUACUGUCUGGCCAACAAGGGCAGGGUUCGGUUCAAGAACACCGGGAACUUUAAGGCAGGAGGCAGAUCCAGAACCAUGGUGGGCUCACAGCCACUCACUACAACUAUAAAUAUCCUCCUGGCUGCCGGCCUGACAGCAACCACAAUUCCUGCUCCCUUGUUGGUAAUAGCACUGCAGGCCUUCUCCACCUCCAUCCCCCCCCACCCCCCGCCAGAAAUUCAGCACAACCAGCAGCAGCAAAAAUUAUGAAAUGUGUGCAUGAGCUUACUCAAUCCCCAGGCAAGCCUUGUUUCCCCACCCUCCUCUCAUCUGUACCUGACUCCUGGGCCCCAAAGAUUAAAAUGAGACUUUAAAGUUGAAACUCAUAUGAUUAAGAUCUCAGUUUGGCGCUUAGAAAAUACUGUGG